ACCUGAACGAAUGGUUGAUCUUCGCUAGUUAUGCAACCCAUCACUGUACAGAUGCAAUCAGAGUCAACGACCUCAGCAUAGCAAAUGGGUCAAAAGUUACUAGCAGGUCAAAUACAAAACUUGCAAGCUUUGUCUUCAUCAUUCAAGCAUCAGGACAGCAGGUCAUUCUGCCAGCUUACGACCCAACUCCCGACCAAACUCAAACUAUUCAGGAAUUGCUGGGCAAUGCUACAUUGCCUACCCAUUGUAUCAUCAAGACCUCUUCAUAGCUGUGUCUCUCUGCCCAUGGACCUACUACUCUGACAGAGUAUAAGGUCCACGCUCUGCCAUACAUGUACCUCUUAACCCUAAAAAGACUGGGGCCGUAAAAUUUUAUUUCUAGCAAAAAAAUUAAUCUUUGUGUCAUUACCUUUACUUUUUCUUGAUAAAAACAAAUAGUACCUCUUACCCCUAAAAAGACUGGGGCCGUAAAAUUCUGUUUCUAGACAAAGUUCAUCUUUGAAUUAUUACCUUUACUUUUACUUUAUAAAAACAAAUAACUACGUGUUUAUGAUCGGAAAAAUUGUCAACAAUUUCCAUUGAAAAACAAUUUAAAAAAAAACAUGGUAGAAUUACAUGAGAAACUUUAAACAAUAAAAUAAAAAAAAUUCGUGUAUCCAAACAGAAACCCUUAGAGGGCUUUAAGGGCUUAAUUUACAGCCAAAUUUUAAUUCCAUGCAUAAGUUAGCACAAUCUUGAAUUAUUUUGGAAGAACCAAAUAUGCAGUUCUGUAGAUUGCAUUGUGGUUGAUGUGGACAUUUCUUUUUGUCAUGAUCACACCAUUAUGAGCCAAAAGGAUUGUUUGAAAACCUUAAAAAAUACCCCAGUCUUAUUAGGGUUAACCAUUUUGGUAAGAGAAGGCCCUUUAGCAAUUGGGUGGAUGAUGUCUACUGCUAUCGCUCGCUGGUUGGAGAUGCCCUGAGAAGAGUGGAGGUAGCCUAAAUUAAGACCAGGAAUCUUAUGAACAUCCUUCAUUCCCCAGAAGACUACCUUGAGGAACUGCAGCAGAUCAUCAAGAGCUACUCAGACCUUGAUCCUGCUCCACCACCUAUGGUAGCUCCAGCUCGUGGUUAUUAUGCAGAGAUGAAGAAUCGUUUAUUCCUCUAGCUACCCAGCCGUCCCGCUCCACUACCACCAGUUGGAAGUCUAGCUCCAGUUCCUGGGUAUUAUGCAGAGAGGGAGACUUGUGAAAAGCAGAGAUGAUGUCAUAGAAGAAGCAGAGGAACUGCAGGUCAUGUGACUCAGUAUACAACAUGGACACCCCCCCCCCUAUCUGGUGAGAGAGAUGGUCGACCAAAGACAAGGACAGACUGAUCAUGUGGGUGGCCCAGCACAGCAACAUGUGAUACAUGGAAACAGUGCCUGAUGGAAGCAGAGAUUGUAGAUAUUCUUAGAUAUUAAAAUUGAUUGGCUUAUAGUUCAUUCCUG
Long non-coding RNA from Lytechinus variegatus (green sea urchin), 1467 nucleotides. RefSeq lists it as uncharacterized. The transcript is spliced from 4 exons. Lineage: Eukaryota; Metazoa; Echinodermata; Echinoidea; Temnopleuroida; Toxopneustidae. The record is from RefSeq and is a predicted model, not a curated record.